GAUUUGCAUUUAAAAAAUGUUAUCUUAAAAUUAUUUUAGUUACAAAAUACAGUAAUUGUUAACCAAAUUUUUUGCAAUAUGAAUUUUUCUUUGAGUAGUUUCAGCGCGUGUCCCUACAUUUUGCUCUCUGCUACGCUGUUUUUGUUUGCGGAUCAAAAAUCUUUGCUUUUGAGUCAAAAAGUUUUGGAUGCAAGUUACAAGCGUCUCAGUGGGCGGGAUCAACCUAGUUGAAUGAAAGACCCGUUUCUAUUGGCCACUACUGUCACCAUUUGGCCACGCCCACCACGGAAGUCUGCCUGUUGAACGAGGAGAGCGAUGCUGUGCUAUGGAGAGCGGCAUAUUGUUUGUAAGAUGAUUCUUCACUAGAGGUUACAUUGAAGUCAGGCAAUGACAGGAAGGAUGGCUGGGGAUUCCAAGAUCUGAUAAAAAAAAGUUACAUGAAGAUACUUGGACUACUCAUGGGACCAAAGAGCUAUUACACCAGCUCCAGUCUGGAUCCUGUCUCUAUCAGAUGACCCUACACAUAAGGAAAGUUGACAUCGGACAUCACGAGGACUUCAAAACUGUUCAAAGCGCUAUACAAAUAAAUGUGAACAAAAUUGAAUUGUUUGAAGUCAACAGCAGAGAUGAGGAUGCCACACAAUGCAUCCUCUCCACAACAGAUCUUGCAUUACAAAGUGAUAUUGACAUCUUUCUUGGCCUCUCUGAUUACAAUCCUCCCAAUCAUUCCUGCAACACAAGAAGCACACAUUACUUUUAUGUCACAAAUCACAGUUUGUAAUUAAAGUAUGGUCUACCUGCUACUUUUAAAAGAUCUUCGUAUCA
Misgurnus anguillicaudatus (oriental weatherfish) is the source of this 825-nucleotide non-coding RNA. The record is from RefSeq and is a predicted model, not a curated record. Lineage: Eukaryota; Metazoa; Chordata; Actinopteri; Cypriniformes; Cobitidae.